This 30-nucleotide non-coding RNA is filed under the name Rattus norvegicus (Norway rat). Lineage: Eukaryota; Metazoa; Chordata; Mammalia; Rodentia; Muridae. The record is from RNAcentral.
GAGGCUGUCGGUUCCUUAUGUGCCACAGGU